Molecule: long non-coding RNA, 3657 nt
Organism: Carassius auratus (goldfish)
Lineage: Eukaryota; Metazoa; Chordata; Actinopteri; Cypriniformes; Cyprinidae
Source: Ensembl
UGCCUAGGGUUGUUAGUCAACAUAAAAUAAACAUUAACUAAAAAAAAAGGUAUAUAUAUAUAUAUAUAUAUAUAUAUAUAUAUAUAUAUAUAUAUAUAUAUAUAUAUAUAUAUAUAUAUAUUUAUUAUUAUUAUUAUUAUUAUUAUUAUUAUUAUUUUAUUUAUUUUUUUAGCCAUUUGCUAAGUUUUAUAUACUUUACCUUUAUGUAGCAAGAUACAGUAACUAAAACUGAAAUAAAUAAUGAUACAAAUUUUAUGGGCAUGUUAAAAAAUUAAAUAAAAUAAAUACAAAAAGUAUAAUAAAAAUGUCAAAGAUGCACAACAAAAUUGUAAAAUUAAAAUGGAAAAUAUUACAAAUUAAUUAAAGCUAUGAAUAAAAAUACACAGUAGUGUCUUAAUGAUAUUAAAAUAACCCUGCUGAAAGAAACUGUUGAUCAUGGUCAUAUAAGCAAUUUAUUAUAUAUAUAUAUAUAUAUAUAUAUAUAUAUAUAUAUAUAUAUAUAUAUAUAUAUAUAUAUAUAUAUAUAUAUAUAUAUAAUAUUCUGGUUGGGUUAGGUCAAGCUUUAUAUUAUAUUUAUUAUUAUUAUUUUUGAUACUGCAUUGGCAUUAAAACUGGGAUCAAGAAUGGUGAACUAUUAAUGCCACUUGUAUCGUGACCACCCUUACAUGAGUUAUUAUAUUAUUUAUAAAUUUAUAUAUGUAACUAUGCCUCAGUGGUGAUUGAGGGAGCAGUGAAGACUGAAGGUGUUUGUGUCUGUGCUCAGGAGACAGCGGCCGUGUCCCGAUCGGCCUCCAUUAAAGAGUCGGGUCCUAAACCGGUGCAGAACGAGGACCAAUCAGAGCCCAGACACACCAGUCCACUGGAGUACAGCAGGACUCUGGCCACUCAGAACAGGUACAGACCGCUUCACACACACACACACACACGGACUCAGGACUGAGCGCUCUCUGCUGUGUGUGUCAGCUUACAGACAGCCGUCAUGGUGCGUGUGGGCACUGAGGAAGACGAGGAGGAGGAAGAGGAAGAUGAGGAGGAGGAGGAGAAGCCCUCCAGUCAAGAGCAGGACGUGUCGUAUGAGCUGAGCAACAGCAAACACAGCACACUGAUGUCAGUGAGCAGUCUGUCGACUCCGCCCCAAUCUCCAAGCUCCUCCUCCUCUCCCCCACCUCCACCCUCCCCCCCACAGCUGACGGACGGAUCGCACUUCAUGUGUGUGUGAGCGGAGAGACGGACGAGUAAGACACACACACACACACAGUCUGACUCACUUCACAGACGUUACAGUGUUUGUUUGAAUCUCUCAUGUGUUUGUAAUGACUCUGCUCAUAAAACCAGUUUCUGAGGGGUUUAAAUGCAUCAUAAACACAAGCGUGUGUGUGUGUGUGUGUGUGAUAAUCUGUCUGUUCUCGGUGGAAAAUGAAGCAUUCUCUCAAAUGAAGCAGUAAUUAGCCUCCUAACUAGAGUUCAUUAGCUUCAUAGAGUCUCGGUGAGCAUAAAGCUUCACUGAUUAACAGUGCAAUGAAGAGUCAUUCAGACGCCACUUCACAUGACAAUACGCUCGUAUAUAUAAAUAUACAAACUCUUUUCCUAUAUGUAUCAAUUUUAUUCAGAGGCCCAAACUGAGAAAAAAACUAUAUUUGGUGACGAUCCUGAUAUUUCUAUCGACAAUAUAAGCAUUUGUAUUACCUGCAUGAACGCUUACCUUUUAAUUGCUGUUCUGUGGAACGGAGAGGAUUUUAAUGUGUUUUUGUCAGUAAGUGAAGUCAGUUAAACACAAAGGCGAUUUGUGUGUCUUAAUGAAAACAGCUCAGGUGUUAUGAUGAAAAUAUUAAAAGUACUGCAUUAUUUAACUGCUGAAAACUCUUCUUAAUUGCAUGAAGAUUGCAUUUGUUUUGCACAGCAGUAUGAAAUUCACUAAGAAAACCCAGAGUCACAUUUCACUCCAAAAUAAAAAGAAAAGCAUCAGUUGUAUUUUACAUAACCAAAAUGUUUUUUUUUUUUUGCAUUAAACUGAGUUAUGAAAAUCAACCCAUUUGAAUGCCUUUUUAAAUAAAAAUCUGCAUAAAUUAAAAUUCAGCAUUCAACAAAUACUAGCAUAUUUUUUUUUUACAGUUGAAAUUCAAUGUACUUUCAUUACAUCUUUUUUAUAAUAGUAUUUUUUUGUGUGUGUUGCUGUAAUAAGAUGCCAGAAAUGUGCUUAAUGUUUUUUUUAAAUCAACAUGCAUGCAUGCAUAUAUAUAUAAUGCAAAUGUGUUAAUGGUCCAUUUGUCUGUAAAAAAAAAAAAAAGUUUUCAGACAUGGUAUAUUAUGUUGAACUGUAAUGUACCUGUAUUGCCAUAAAAAUAUUUUUAAACACUGCAUCUUUUUUAUUAUUGCUAUUAGAAUUUUGCUGUAAUAACAAUAUGCAGAAAAGCGUGCAUUUAGUGCUCCGUUUGUUUUGUUUUCGGAUCAAAUGUGACACAUGCAUGAUUUUUUUCCCUUUCUUUGAGACUCAUUUAGAUAUAGAUAUGUUAAUAUAUCUGUAACACAAGUGUGUAUAUUGUUGUGUCUGUCCAGCAGCCUCUCCGCCGACAUCAGUGAAGCUCAGCGUGUGAGGAGGGGACGUCCCGUCGUGAGCCAAACACAUCAUCAUCAUCAUCAUCAGAGACAGACAGGACACAGAGACGUCCAAGCCUUAGUUCAAACCAUUCUUUUAUAGUGAUUAUUAUUUAUAUUCCUCUUGAGUUUCCUGACGCAUCUGUAGAUGCCAGAGUUUUAUUGUUUGAUGGGGUGUGCAGAUGUGUCUGAGGUGCUAUCAAACCCUCGCUCUUGUACAUUACAGCGCUCAGACUCGCUCUCAACAGGAAGUGGAGGGACAAAGCCCUUUUAUUCAGACUGCUGAGGAUCGCGUUCAACGUUGGCUUGUUUUAUAUGGAUUUUAAUCAGUCUCUCUCCUGGUUUUACCUAGGGUUUUUAAUGUCUGACACCCAUCGUUUCUUUUUUGCUGUUUGUGUAUAAACAAUGUACAACUAUAAAGAGUCAAUAAAGUGCCAGCGUACUGCUGCCGAAGGACAGGAUUUGUAAAUGAUCUGUAUGUUGGAUAGUCCGCAGUAGCCACCACACUGUUUCCCGACACACUCAUGAAUGUUCCAGCUUACUGUACCUUUUAUUUUUCUAUGGCUGAGAUGUAUUUAACUCUAUAGAGACGAGUACAGAGUAUUAGCGUUUUCAGAAGAGUAUUCCAGAGGUCGGCUUUGGUUUGAGGAGAACAGCACACCACGAGCAAGCGUUUAUAGCCGUUGAUAAAGCAAUAAAAGCAGGGUUUGGUGUUUAACUUGGAUGUACAAACUGUAAAGUUCAUGAUGUAUAUACUGUACACCAUUCUAUGAGCAGAGCAGAGACGCAGAAGAGGUUAUGUAUCAGAGUCAAUAUGCAAAUGUUCAGAUUUCAUCUGUUUUAUAUCAUGUGAAAUAAAUGUUGAUGUUCUUAUAUAUAUAUAUAUAAAUAUAUAUAUAUGAAAAGCUUUCGAUUCCUUUUUUCUGUCUGAUGAAUAUUACAAAAAAUAUAUACUUUAUAUUUAUUUUUUAUUUAAAAAAAUAUGUACAUAUAUUCAUUCAAUUAUACAAACAUUUUCUCUAAAAUUUAUUAUGCAUUUAAUUUGAUUUAAAAGAAAUACAC